This is a long non-coding RNA of Lagenorhynchus albirostris (white-beaked dolphin), 1614 nucleotides long. RefSeq lists it as uncharacterized. NCBI's taxonomy places the organism in Eukaryota, Metazoa, Chordata, Mammalia, Artiodactyla, Delphinidae. The record is from RefSeq and is a predicted model, not a curated record. The transcript is spliced from 5 exons.
GGGGGGCGUGCCCACGAGGGCGCGGGGAGCGUGGGCGCUGGGCCCGGGUGCUGGGCCGGGCCUGGGGUCUGGACCCGGGAGGCGGUUCUGCGCGCUCGGCUUCCGCCUCCCGCUGCGGCUGGAGUGCCCAGUGGGCUGGCGAGCUAGACCCCCGGACACCCGAACCUAGCGGAGAUCCCGGGUCGAUCGGCCUGCUCCUCACCUCCUGCAGGCGCCCGGAGGAAGGGUCCCCCGCUGCUAGGAGUGCGCCGGGGGCGGUGGGAGGCCCCGCCCGCGCCGCCAGUCCCCUGGUAGCCGCGUGGCGUCGGGCUCCCGCGGGAGGGAGCGGUCUCUGCCCCAGUCUUUGUUUAGAUUCCCCAGGAGCCUGGAGGAGACAGCACCCCCUCCCCCGUCCCUGUCGCCGGCUGGGAGCUGCUGGGGAAAAGCCCUUGGGGGUUGGGAAGAGCCAGGCGCUGAGGGGGAUUUGGGUCGUCGUCCCCCGUUUUCAGAGCCCUAGGGUUUCCUUGGGGAACUCAUGCGGGAGUGAUUCCAGCCAGAGGUGUUCUGGGCCCUUGCCCCGCCCCCCCCCCGAAUGUGGCGAGGUCCCUGCUCUCCCCCAUUCACCCUCCAUUAUCUGAGCGAGCAGGAAAGGGAACUGGGGACCCCUUUUGUGCUCAGGCUCACUCUGGUCAGGCCCAGUGACGUUGCUCUCACACCUGUUACCCCAAAAGAGGGAACACCAAAGUCCUUGGAUGGAGUCCUACUGUAGGGUGAAUGGAAAUGUGAUGACCUGAAAAAAUUUACUUGGGCAAGACAGCUCAAGAGGAGGGCUCCUGGAGACAGGGGUUCUAUUCAGGCUCUGCCACUGACCUUGGGCGGGGCUCUGCCCCUCCCGAUUCCGGCCUUUCCGGUGCAGAGUGACUGUGUUGGACCAGGUCAUCUGGGAGGUCCGGGAUGGUGCGGGCUGAGACGUCAAAGGAUCCUUCAGUGCGUCUCCCCCUUCCCUGAACCUUUAACUGGGCUGGUUUGUAAUGAGGUCCCAGCUUUCCCUCGGCUCCAGGCUUCCGUGAAAGCUACUAUGACUUUGAAUUAACCGACUGUGCAACGUUUAGGAAGCUGCAGGUGAAAGACAAAAGGACCUUGAGAAAAGUAUGGCUUGCUGCCCUUCCAGAUGCAGAGGCAGCUCCGGUCCCUUUGCCAGGAGGACAGAUGAGAAGAUCAAAGCUUGGGGAAAUUCACUAGCAAUCUUACUGCUGAGAUAUCUUCCCAUUGUUUUUUUCUUUGAACCCAUGCUCACACCAGCCCUGUGGAUCUCAGAGCCGAGACCUGUGUUUUGUGACUGGGGUGUCUGCUUCCCACAGGGGACACGGGUUCAACCCCUGGUCUGGGAGGAUCCCACAUGCCACUGAGCAACAGGGCCUGUGCGCCACAACUACUGAGCCUGUGCUCUGGAGCCCAUGAGCCACAACUACUGAGCCCACAUGCCACAACUGCUGAAGCCCACACACCUAGAGCCCGUGCUCCACAACAAAAGAAGCCACCACAAUGAGAGGCCUGUGCACCAUAACGAAGGGAAGCCCCCGUUCGCCGCAACUAAAGAAAGCCCACGUGCGGCAAUGGAGACCCAACGCAGCC